This 5324-nucleotide long non-coding RNA is filed under the name Bemisia tabaci. RNAcentral's name for it is "lncRNA ENSSSA1UGG012088". Lineage: Eukaryota; Metazoa; Arthropoda; Insecta; Hemiptera; Aleyrodidae. The record is from RNAcentral.
UUUCCCUAACUACGUCACUUUUGCUAACUAGUCUGGUGGAAUUAAUACAGAUUCAGGCGGGGAAAAAAUAUGAUUGACGGGAAAAUACAAAAAAUAGCGGUGUUUUUCCGACUGUAGAUUUGAGUUCACGGUGGUUCACGAUAACUUUGAGGUUAGGAUCGUAUCACAACAUUAGUGCUGUUUUGUUUCAGCAUCACAGGCGAUUUUGAUGUCAUCACUCGUGUUUUGUUUGCGUGAUGUCGAGUGAUGUCGAUCAAAAUGGGCGGGGCUUUGCUCGUCCGGUACCCAAAAAACUACCGUAACUACCGUACGGUGAUGUCGAGUGAUGACAUCAGCCGUUGUGGACCUCCGCAGGUCGUCAUCGAGUGAUGUUGGGAUUCUAACCUCAAUUCAAAUUUUGAAUUCCCUUCGAGUUCGAGUUGUUUUGUUUUUCGCGGUGUCCUCAGCACGUGGUUGAUCCGGAACUGACUAUCGAAGCAGUCCCUGAGCCUGGUGCUCCUACUCGCCGCCGCAUGCGUGGCCCAGCAGCAGCAGUCCGCUCAACAAUCGUCUCAAGUGAAGCUUGAGGACAUCGAGCAAGAAUCGAACCAGCGGCCACAAGCACAGAGCGCUCAGGGGUCCCCAAGCCCUGCCCAAGUGCCCCAACUGAGCCCUCAACAGAUCGCCGCCUUCCAACAACAAUACCUCGUCCAGCCCCAACAGUACUUCGCCCCCCAGUUCACGUUCCCUGAAUUCCAGGGCGUGCCCCUCCACUACGUCCCCGCCGGCGCUGCAGGCGCUAACCAACCCAACGUACCCCCCUUCCAGGCUUACUACGUACCCCAGGCCCAGUACCCCCAGGCCCAAUACCCUCAACACGUAGUCCCCGUCGUUCCCCAGGGACAGGAAGCCUUCCGCGGCCCCUUCACUCAGCACUUCAUCCAGCACCCUGCCCCCCAACAAGCAGCCCAAGGCGCUCCUCAAGGCGUUCCUCAGGGACAGCGCACGGUCUCAGUCAUCCCCCGAACAACGCAGUCUACCGCACCAUUCAGCCACCCUUCGGUGCUAACCUCAUCUACACCAACCCACCCGCCCUCCCCCCUCAGAUCAUCUUCACGCAACCCCAGCCUCAGGCCAACUACGCAGUGAACGCCUUCCAGCAGAGACCCAGCAAGGCUCAGUACUCGUCCGGAGUGAAAUCCACUCCUGCAACCCCAACGAAGUCACCUGACUACUCGAACUACGCUCAGACUUCCUCUGCGGCCGCUUCGUCCUCCGCUGCUUCGACCAGCGCCAACGACCAGCAAUACCGAUUCUCAGGUUAGGUCUCCUCCUCAAACCAAAGAACAGCACUACUAUUUAUUGAGUGUCAGUGAUGUCACACAACUUCCGUUGGUCGAGGCUGGAAACGAUUGAGUUCAUUUUCAAAAUAGCAAUACGGUAUUUGAAAAGUUUAAACAUCCGUACUGAAACGUUUUUCUCAAAAUUACAGCGUCAGCAUUCUCCGCUAUCGAAAAACGACUCCGCAGCUAUUUCUUUUCAGUCGUUUGCAAAAUGCGUUAGAUUCAGCUAAAUAAACGUGUUACGUGUAUGAACAGUUCAAACAUUCAAACAUCUGCGCAAUACAAUUUAGGUGUCAUGACACUAGCGUCAUUGCGGGAAGAUCCUAGUUUUAAUAAAUUCAUAGAACAAUUCAAGAGGACGUGUAGAACUUUAAAAUGGAAUAAUUCCAUUAAAUUUAAGUUUCCGAUUAGUUCGAUAUAUGUCUGUUUGUAGCAGAAAGUAGGUUUAAUAAUCUCUAGAAACAGCCUCGACUUAAAAGUUUCAUCCUGGAAUUUCAAUCCGGUGUGAAUUUCAUAUCAUUGUAACGAGUUUUUUCGACAAAAACUUGAUGACUGAUCGCUAAGUAUUGAUUUUUCUCUCACAGAGAGAGAAAAGGCUCACUGCCAUAUUAAUGAUAAUUAUUUAUAACUAUGAUAUUUUGUUGUACAUAUUUAGAUUCGAAUAGGCUUUUGCCGACUUCUCUUACUUGAUGUAAAUACAUAGGUUUCACUCCACCAGAUCAUGAAGCUAGCAGUCCUCAUUUAAGUAAUAUACCUUCGUUGGUUCAUCUUUAUUUGUAAAAAAACGAGAUAAUAGGUUAUCUAUUAUCCUUCAAUCUAUGAACAACUAAAGUGAAAGUUGAUCUGAAAGCUGAUUCAUACGAAGGAAAAUCUAAAAACUGCUUCUCAAGGAAUGUGUUAAUAUUUACCUACCGACAUUUUCUGGAUCCCUUCUUAAAGCAACUUAAAUUAUUCAGAUUUUUUACCAUGUUUUUCAUCUCAGUUACCUGAUGGUUAUUCAUGAUUUCAACUUUCUGAAUAACAGCUAGUCCUUUGAUAUAUUUUCUAUGUAAAUAUCAGUUCAUUAAAAUUGUGUUUCUUGUUUCUAAAGAUGCUCGCUUUCAACAUUAUUUAUUGUCUCUGCCCUAGUCUCUUCUUUCUUCUACUUCGUUUUUUUACAUUUAUUUAUAAGAUAUGAAUAAAUUUGGAGACUACUUGAAACAACAAUAAGCGUGCUCAGUAAUUUUUCAUUCUUGCAUUUUUUAAUAAAAUAGCACAAACAGUUUACAGAGAUUUUCCACGAUUUUGUUAAACAAUUUUGAUCCACUAAAAACGAGUUCAAAGUUGCGUAUUUAAACUCUUACUUAUUUUUUGUGGGUUAAUUGUUUUAAAAAAAUCGAGGAAAUCCCUGUGAUCUAUGUUCGCUUUCCACUUUUCAAAAGUACAAGAAUUAAAAAUUUGAACGAAUAAGCUUAUUGUGUAAGUAACGUACUUCAAAAGUAGUGAAGUUAAUACAAAAACAACGUAAACGCAUUGUGAACCGUCUUAAUUCAACUGCUACGAUGGCUUUUGCGGAUAAUCGAAUUUGCCUGAAUUUCAGAAAAAUCGCACUUUCGUUCUCGAAAAUAUUUCUGGAAAUCUUCUAGUAAUCGCUACAAAUUUAUAAAUAAACGAGUAAGCGCUUUCUAGGUUUUGUAUGAUGAUCAUUAUGCAGCAAUAUGAAUUUAAAAUUAAAGCAAAAUGGAAAACACAGAUUCAUGAUUGAAUCCCAAAAUUAAGAGUGUCAGUUUCCCAAUAAAUGACAUCGCAAACAUUCUGUCAAUUUAUAUGUUCUGUUCGAAAAAUGAUCAAUCUCAUUUGUUGAAUUUCCUUGAUAUUACUUCUCUGGGUGUUGGAUAUUUUAAGAGAUGAGGUCGGCUCGUUUUCAAUGCAAAAAGUACCCAAAAAGGAAUGUAGAAUUGUAAGCACUGCAAUCGAUGUACGUGUUUUCAUACGAUAGCUCGCGAAAUCAUGCUCCAAUUUAGAGAUCAGAAGACUAUUAAUCCCCUCUGCAACCAAAACAAAGUUUUGACUAUAUUCUUCCACUUUUUUCAAAGCCAUAGUGAGUAUUGUCUUACAAUUACGAUGAUUGCAUUCAUAUUUUGAUAAUUUACCUCUAAGAGCAUGAUCCAAAAUAUCAAUAAUUUCCUCAAAAUCCUAUAACCUAAUCCAACUUAAGCCAAAUUGAGAGGGAAACGUUUUGGGAGGGGAGGGAAUCUGCUUGAGAGGAAAAUUACAAGAAAAAAUGCCAAACAAUGGCAUAAAAUCAAGCCAAAUUCCCUUAAAAAGAGUCCAAAUGUCAAGAGCACACGCGAGUAAUUUUUCCCCUAUAUCGUCUUAAAUGAUAUCUCCGAAUUUCUCUUAGUCUUAGGUUAAAAACGUAUGCGUGAAAACCUAUUACUUGACGGGGUACCUAUCGCUCCUUAUAAUAUGUAAAUCGUAGGUGACUGAUUAAUAUUUCUUGUUUGGCGCUGGUGCAAUGGGUUUUUUGCUUCAAAUUUGGGUCAAGAUGGUCGAAAGUAAGUCAAAUCCACAAUUAUUCACCUUAAAUAUCAAAAGGAAAUACACAAUUGAGGGAUAUCGAGGAUGGCAGAGUUUAUGAUGAACCUUGUAAGAAAAGAAAAAAAAGAGAGAAAAAACUCUGCGAAAACCCACCCAUAUUUUGGUCAACGGUUAGAUCAACGGGACUGCGUCUCAUUAAAGCUUUAGAUGUCAAUUCUCCCAGGAAAAUUUAUUAGCUGAAGUUAAGGACAUAAAGCUACAGCAAUUCACCUCUCAACGCGAACCAUUUUAGAAUCUUGCUUCCUCUAAGCUUCUAUCUUCGUUUCUUGUGAUGGUUUUUUCAAAUACACUUUUCCGGCAAAAGACAAAAUCCCUUUCUUAACAAGAAUAGACACACAAAAAAAUAAAUGAAGUAGUUUUGAAGACUCACAAAAAUGCAAAUUUAAAAAAAACACGUCUUGAUAAAUUAUGGAUUUUUACAAGUCUUAAAGUGUUCUACAUGCAAAUUUCUCCCAAUAUGUGCUCAACUAUUAUCGUACUUAAUGGCCUCUGAAGCUAUGUGUGCGAGUUGUCUACUCAAAAAGUUCAAUUUUGGUUUGAACUUUUUCAUCCUGCAUGAAAGGCGCAUUUUUUUAUUCGAAUAUCAUUGAGAAGCGCCAGUUGGCUAGUGUAUAAAUCUCUCGAAAUUUGUACACUUUUUACCAUCAUCUCCUCUAAAUCAUAAAACUUGAAUCGCUCACUUUCUCCGUCAAACCCUCGUCCGAAAUAUUUUUGUGACUUUUGGCGGGCUGAAAUUAUUACGAUGUCCGCUCAAUUCGUGGCGGGGUCGGUUGCGUAAGGCCCCUCGGAUUAUGAAUUACUAAUAAGGAUGAAUUUAAAUGAAUUGAUGUGAUGCUCCAACGAGAAAAACAUUGGUAACUUUCAUCGAAUGCAAAUUGCGGCGUGCGGUCGUCGGCCGCUUGUAAUUUAUGGAAAUGCGCCGAGGAAAGUGGCUCGUAACAAUCAGGAGGUUGACAGGCAGGCGCUAACAAAUUGACCAUUGCUGAGGGAGCUUUUGUGUGGGUGUUAAAUUUAUCAGCCUGCAAUCCAUCAAUGCAUUGUUUCACAAUCAAACUUCCUGCACCGUUCCGUAAAUCUUGCGCGGAACUUUCUGGUGGUAACUAAUACGGAAGUUAACGCGUAUAAUAAUGAAGUAUGUCAUAAGGAAAUACAAUUUAGACUAAUCAUGAACGUAUUUCCGCUUUCAUUUGGAGAUCUGCGUUUCCUAUCUGAAUGGCUCCAUUUACAAAAUUUCAAAAAUUGCUUCUUCCAUCCUUCAGUCCAGGUUACUAAUUAGCCUUUAAUGCAGAAAUCCCCCUUUCAUCACUUUCGUGUAUGCUUAUUUUUUAACAUCAUUCUUGUGCUAGGGACUAUGUUAUACUUGUUUGUUUUUCAAAGAGUGUUUUCUAAAUAAAUGUGUAUUCUUAUAUUUUUAUAAUCAAC